This 286-nucleotide signal recognition particle RNA is filed under the name Cebus imitator (Panamanian white-faced capuchin). RNAcentral describes it as "Metazoan signal recognition particle RNA (ENSCCAG00000005688.1)". It matches the Rfam family "Metazoan signal recognition particle RNA". From Rfam's summary of the family: The signal recognition particle (SRP) is a universally conserved ribonucleoprotein. It is involved in the co-translational targeting of proteins to membranes. Lineage: Eukaryota; Metazoa; Chordata; Mammalia; Primates; Cebidae. The record is from RNAcentral.
GCCGGGUGUGGUGGCGCAUGCCUGUAGUCCCCGCUACUCGGGAGGCUGAGGCUGGAGGAUCGCUUGAGCCCAGGAGUUCUGGGCUGCAGUGCACUAUGUCGAUUGGGUAUCCGCACCAAGUUCAGCAUCAAUAUAGUGACCUCCCAGAAGCAGGGGACCACCAGGUUGCCUAAGGAGGGGUGAACUGGCCCAGGUUGGAAACAGAGCAGGUCAAAACUCCUGUGCUGAUCAGUAGUGGGAUCGUGGCUGACCUCUAGCCUGGGCAACAUAGCGAGAUCCCAUCUCU